This 301-nucleotide ribosomal RNA is filed under the name uncultured bacterium. Its description in RNAcentral is "partial 16S ribosomal RNA". It matches the Rfam family "Bacterial small subunit ribosomal RNA", at positions 509 to 807 of the family's 1533-position model. The record is from RNAcentral.
CAGUCGCCACGGGAAUACGUAGGGUGCGAGCGUUAAUCGGAAUUAUUGGGCGUAAAGCGUGCGCAGGCGGUUUCUUAAGUCUGAUGUGAAAGCCCCCGGCUCAACCGGGGAGGGUCAUUGGAAACUGGGAAACUUGAGUGCAGAAGAGGAGAGUGGAAUUCCACGUGUAGCGGUGAAAUGCGUAGAGAUGUGGAGGAACACCAGUGGCGAAGGCGACUCUCUGGUCUGUAACUGACGCUGAGGAGCGAAAGCGUGGGGAGCGAACAGGAAUAGAUACCCCCGUAGUCCCUGUCUCUUAUAC